UGUUUUAGGGUUUAGAUUUGAAGGUUUAAGGUUUUAGGGUUUAGGGUUCGAAUUUCAGAAAAAUAUAAGGUUUAGGGUUUACGUUUAGGGUUUAGAAUUGAUGUUUUAGGAUUUUAAUUUGAAGGUUUAGGGUUUAGGGUUUAGAGUUGAUGUUUCGGGGUUUAGGGUUUAUAGUUGAUGUUUCAUGGUUUAGGGUUUAGAGUUGAUGAUUUAGGGUUUAAAGUUGAUGUUUUAAGUUUAGAUUUAGGGUUGAGGGUUUACGUUUAGGGUUUAGUGUUGAUGUUUUAGGGUUUAGAUUUGAAGUUUUGGGGUUUAAGGUUUAGAGUUGAUGUUUCGGGGUUUAGGGUUUAAAGUUGAUGUUUCAUGGUUUAGGGUUUAGAGUUGAUGUUUUAAGUUUAGAUUAGUUA
This 407-nucleotide long non-coding RNA is filed under the name Brassica napus (rape). RNAcentral describes it as "long non-coding RNA (BNAP_LNC015944)". Lineage: Eukaryota; Viridiplantae; Streptophyta; Magnoliopsida; Brassicales; Brassicaceae. The record is from RNAcentral.